AGAGUAUGAUCCUGGCUCAGAACGAACGCUGGCGGCAGGCCUAACACAUGCAAGUCGAGCGAGACCUUCGGGUCUAGCGGCGGACGGGUUAGUAACGCGUGGGAACGUGCCCUUUUCUACGGAAUAGCCUCGGGAAACUGAGAGUAAUACCGUAUACGCCCUUCGGGGGAAAGAUUUAUCGGAGAAGGAUCGGCCCGCGUUAGAUUAGGUAGUUGGUGGGGUAAUGGCCUACCAAGCCUACGAUCUAUAGCUGGUUUGAGAGGAUGAUCAGCAACACUGGGACUGAGACACGGCCCAGACUCCUACGGGAGGCAGCAGUGGGGAAUCUUAGACAAUGGGGGCAACCCUGAUCUAGCCAUGCCGCGUGAGUGAAGAAGGCCCUAGGGUCGUAAAGCUCUUUCGCCUGUGAAGAUAAUGACUGUAGCAGGUAAAGAAACCCCGGCUAACUCCGUGCCAGCAGCCGCGGUAAUACGGAGGGGGUUAGCGUUGUUCGGAAUUACUGGGCGUAAAGCGCGCGUAGGCGGACUAUUAAGUCAGGGGUGAAAUCCCGGGGCUCAACCCCGGAACUGCCCUUGAUACUGGUAGUCUUGAGUUCGAGAG
Molecule: ribosomal RNA, 600 nt
Filed under: uncultured marine bacterium
Lineage: Bacteria
Description: bacterial SSU rRNA
Rfam family: Bacterial small subunit ribosomal RNA
Source: RNAcentral